This 253-nucleotide ribosomal RNA is filed under the name uncultured bacterium. RNAcentral describes it as "partial 16S ribosomal RNA". It matches the Rfam family "Bacterial small subunit ribosomal RNA", at positions 524 to 776 of the family's 1533-position model. The record is from RNAcentral.
UACGUAGGGUGCGAGCGUUGAUCGGAAUUACUGGGCGUAAAGCGUGCGCAGGCGGUCCGCAAAGUCUGAUGUGAAAGCCCCGGGCUCAACCUGGGAACUGCAUUGGAAACUAACGGGCUCGAGUGUGGCAGAGGGGGGUGGAAUUCCACGUGUAGCAGUGAAAUGCGUAGAGAUGUGGAGGAACACCGAUGGCGAAGGCAGCCCCCUGGGCUAACACUGACGCUCAGGCACGAAAGCGUGGGGAGCAAACAGG